UUAAGCGACUAAGCGUACACGGUGGAUGCCCUGGCAGUCAGAGGCGAUGAAGGACGUGCUAAUCUGCGAAAAGCGUCGGUAAGGUGAUAUGAACCGUUAUAACCGGCGAUGUCCGAAUGGGGAAACCCAGUGCAAUUCGUUGCACUAUCGUUAACUGAAUACAUAGGUUAACGAGGCGAACCGGGGGAACUGAAACAUCUAAGUACCCCGAGGAAAAGAAAUCAACCGAGAUUCCCCCAGUAGCGGCGAGCGAACGGGGAGCAGCCCAGAGUCUGAAUCAGCUUGUGUGUUAGUGGAACGGUCUGGAAAGUCCGACGGUACAGGGUGAUAGUCCCGUACACCAAAAUGCACAGGCUGUGAACUCGAAGAGUAGGGCGGGACACGUGGUAUCCUGUCUGAAUAUGGGGGGACCAUCCUCCAAGGCUAAAUACUCCUGACUGACCGAUAGUGAACCAGUACCGUGAGGGAAAGGCGAAAAGAACCCCGGCGAGGGGAGUGAAAAAGAACCUGAAACCGUGUACGUACAAGCAGUGGGAGCACCUUCGGGUGUGACUGCGUACCUUUUGUAUAAUGGGUCAGCGACUUAUAUUCUGUAGCAAGGUUAACCGUAUAGGGGAGCCGCAGGGAAACCGAGUCUUAACUGGGCGUUAAGUUGCAGGGUAUAGACCCGAAACCCGGUGAUCUAGCCAUGGGCAGGUUGAAGGUUGGGUAACACUAACUGGAGGACCGAACCGACUAAUGUUGAAAAAUUAGCGGAUGACUUGUGGCUGGGGGUGAAAGGCCAAUCAAACCGGGAGAUAGCUGGUUCUCCCCGAAAGCUAUUUAGGUAGCGCCUCGUGAACUCAUCUUCGGGGGUAGAGCACUGUUUCGGCUAGGGGGUCAUCCCGACUUACCAACCCGAUGCAAACUACGAAUACCGAAGAAUGUUAUCACGGGAGACACACGGCGGGUGCUAACGUCCGUCGUGAAGAGGGAAACAACCCAGACCGCCAGCUAAGGUCCCAAAGUCAUGGUUAAGUGGGAAACGAUGUGGGAAGGCACAGACAGCCAGGAUGUUGGCUUAGAAGCAGCCAUCAUUUAAAGAAAGCGUAAUAGCUCACUGGUCGAGUCGGCCUGCGCGGAAGAUGUAACGGGGCUAAACCAUGCACCGAAGCUGCGGCAGCGACACUAUGUGUUGUUGGGUAGGGGAGCGUUCUGUAAGCCUGCGAAGGUGUGCUGUGAGGCAUGCUGGAGGUAUCAGAAGUGCGAAUGCUGACAUAAGUAACGAUAAAGCGGGUGAAAAGCCCGCUCGCCGGAAGACCAAGGGUUCCUGUCCAACGUUAAUCGGGGCAGGGUGAGUCGACCCCUAAGGCGAGGCCGAAAGGCGUAGUCGAUGGGAAACAGGUUAAUAUUCCUGUACUUGGUGUUACUGCGAAGGGGGGACGGAGAAGGCUAUGUUAGCCGGGCGACGGUUGUCCCGGUUUAAGCAUGUAGGCUGAUUGUCCAGGCAAAUCCGGAUAAUCAAGGCUGAGGUGUGAUGACGAGGUACUACGGUGCUGAAGUAACAAAUGCCCUGCUUCCAGGAAAAGCCUCUAAGCAUCAGGUAACAUCAAAUCGUACCCCAAACCGACACAGGUGGUCAGGUAGAGAAUACCAAGGCGCUUGAGAGAACUCGGGUGAAGGAACUAGGCAAAAUGGUGCCGUAACUUCGGGAGAAGGCACGCUGGUGUGUAGGUGAAGUCCCUGCGGAUGGAGCUGAGACCAGUCGAAGAUACCAGCUGGCUGCAACUGUUUAUUAAAAACACAGCACUGUGCAAACACGAAAGUGGACGUAUACGGUGUGACGCCUGCCCGGUGCCGGAAGGUUAAUUGAUGGGGUUAUCCGUAAGGAGAAGCUCUUGAUCGAAGCCCCGGUAAACGGCGGCCGUAACUAUAACGGUCCUAAGGUAGCGAAAUUCCUUGUCGGGUAAGUUCCGACCUGCACGAAUGGCGUAAUGAUGGCCAGGCUGUCUCCACCCGAGACUCAGUGAAAUUGAACUCGCUGUGAAGAUGCAGUGUACCCGCGGCAAGACGGAAAGACCCCGUGAACCUUUACUAUAGCUUGACACUGAACAUUGAGCCUUGAUGUGUAGGAUAGGUGGGAGGCUUUGAAGCGUGGACGCCAGUCUGCGUGGAGCCAACCUUGAAAUACCACCCUUUAAUGUUUGAUGUUCUAACGUUGGCCCCUUACCGGGGUUGCGGACAGUGUCUGGUGGGUAGUUUGACUGGGGCGGUCUCCUCCCAAAGCGUAACGGAGGAGCACGAAGGUUAGCUAAUCCUGGUCGGACAUCAGGAGGUUAGUGCAAUGGCAUAAGCUAGCUUGACUGCGAGCGUGACGGCGCGAGCAGGUGCGAAAGCAGGUCAUAGUGAUCCGGUGGUUCUGAAUGGAAGGGCCAUCGCUCAACGGAUAAAAGGUACUCCGGGGAUAACAGGCUGAUACCGCCCAAGAGUUCAUAUCGACGGCGGUGUUUGGCACCUCGAUGUCGGCUCAUCACAUCCUGGGGCUGAAGUAGGUCCCAAGGGUAUGGCUGUUCGCCAUUUAAAGUGGUACGCGAGCUGGGUUUAGAACGUCGUGAGACAGUUCGGUCCCUAUCUGCCGUGGGCGCUGGAGAAUUGAGGGGGGCUGCUCCUAGUACGAGAGGACCGGAGUGGACGCAUCACUGGUGUUCGGGUUGUCAUGCCAAUGGCACUGCCCGGUAGCUAAAUGCGGAAGAGAUAAGUGCUGAAAGCAUCUAAGCACGAAACUUGCCCCGAGAUGAGUUCUCCCUGAGACUUUAAGUCUCCUGAAGGAACGUUGAAGACGACGACGUUGAUAGGCCGGGUGUGUAAGCGCAGCGAUGCGUUGAGCUAACCGGUACUAAUGAACCGUGAGGCUUAACCUU
This 2900-nucleotide ribosomal RNA is filed under the name Klebsiella pneumoniae. Its description in RNAcentral is "23S ribosomal RNA". It matches the Rfam family "Bacterial large subunit ribosomal RNA". Lineage: Bacteria; Pseudomonadati; Pseudomonadota; Gammaproteobacteria; Enterobacterales; Enterobacteriaceae. The record is from RNAcentral.